RNAcentral lists this long non-coding RNA (2755 nucleotides) under Canis lupus familiaris (dog). RNAcentral describes it as "lncRNA (ENSCAFG00805004964.1, ENSCAFG00845012893.1)". Lineage: Eukaryota; Metazoa; Chordata; Mammalia; Carnivora; Canidae. The record is from RNAcentral.
GACUUUAAUCAUAACAUCUCAGUGUCAGUUCAUUAAUUGUAGCAAAUAUGCCACACUAUCGUAAGAUGUUAACAAUAAAGGAGACUGGCUGUGCUAUAUGGGAACUCUAUGUACCGGCUCUACAGUUUUUCAGUAGAUCUAAAAUUAUUCUUAAAAAAAAUAUUUUUUUAAAGGCAGCUGGUGGCUGUACGAACUCACUCUUCCUCCCAGAAACAAUCACUUGGCGCCUGCUGUGUGCCAGGCGCAUGUACAGGUGAUUUAUGUGCAUCUUCAUUUAUUUCUCAUAUUAGUGCUGGGAGCUGGGGAAAAUCUGCAUUUUGCAGAUGAGGAAAUUAAAGCACAGAGAUGUAGUUAACUGGCUAACAGCCACACAGCACAUUUAAGGACGCAUGAACGAAUGGCUCAUGUUCAGGUCUACCCACUACAAGGUUCCUGAUAAAGCUCGGCAACGUUGCCUGAAAAAUCCCUAAACUUUAAACAGAGGCUGGCUCAACACCAAGCUUCAAGCAGUCCACAAACCCAGAUUGGUAAUAAAAAGAGUACGCUUUCUAAUUUGCCUUACUUUUAGAAGUUUAAAAACAUAAAAUAGAACUACUAUCAGGAAAAGAAAUUAAAAAAAAAAAGAGCAAAUCCAAAACACUGACAACACCAGAUGCUGGUGAACAUAUAGGAUAUAGGAUAACAGGGACUCUCAUACGUGGCUGAUGGGAGAGCAAAGUGGUGCAGCCAGUCUGGAAGACAGUGCUAAACACAGAGCAUAUGUCCUCUCCACCACAUUCCUAUACUGAAAUCUAACCCCCAACAUGAUGGUAUUUGGAGGUGGGGGCUUUGGAGUGAUUAGGUCAUGAGGGUGGAGCCCCCAUGGGUGGGAUUAGUGCCCACAGAAGAGGCCCCAGAGAGCUCCAUCACCCCUUCUAUCAUGUGAGGACAGCCACCUAUCAACAGGAAGAGGUACCCUGAAUCUACUGGCAUCUCAGACAUCCCAAAGCUUCCAGAACUCUGGAACCAAUUUCAGUGGUUUUUAAGCCCUCAUCCCCAGUCUAUGGCAUUUUGUGAUAGCAGCAUGGAUGGCCUGAGACCGUCUGGCAGUGUCGCACAAAGCUAACACAGGUUUCCAUACGACCACCAAGUUGUGCUCCCAGGCAUUUACUCCAAAGAAUUGAGAACAGGUGUCCACACAAAACCUGCACACGAAUGUUUGUAUCAGCUCUAUUCAUGACUGGCAAAAAUUGGAAUCAAACAAAUGUCUUUCAAUAGAUAAACUACCGUACAUCUACACAAUGGAGUAUUGUUCGGCUAUAAGAAGAAAUGAGCGAUCACGUUACAAAAACACACACAGGGAGGUGUCUGGGUGGCUUGGGAGGCUAAGGGUCUGCCUUUGGCUUGGGUCAUGAUCCCAGAGUCCUGGGAUUGAGCCCCACAUCGGGGUUCCUUGCUCAGCGGGUGUCUAUUUCUCCCUCUCCUCUGCACCCUCAAUCGUGCUAUUUCUCAAACGAAUAAAUAAAAUCUUAAACACACACACAUGGACAGCCCGGGUCGCUCAGCGAUUUAGCACUGCCUUCGGCCCGGGGUGUGAUCCUGGAGACCCAGGAUCGAGUCCCGCAUUGGGCUCCCUGCUUGGAGCCUGUUUCUCCCUCUGCCUGUGUCUCUGUCUCUAUGUGUGUGUGUGUGUGUGUGUGUGUGUGUGUGUUUAAAGAUUUUAUUUAUUUAAUCAUGAGAGACACAGAGGAACCUUAGAUGCAUAUUGCUAAGUGAAAGAAGCCAGUAUAAAAAUACUACAUACUGUGAUUUCAACUAUUAGACGUUCUGGAUAAGGCAAACUAUGGAGACAGUAGGAGAAAGAUCAGUGGUUGCCAGGGGUUGAGGGAGGGAGGAAAGGAAGGGUCAACAGGUAGAGCACGGAGGAUCUUCAGGAUGGUGAUACGAUUCCAUAUGACACUAUCAUGGUGGAUACAUGAUAUUAUGUCUUUGUAAAACCUAGAGAACUGUGGAUCACAAAGCAAAAUCCUAAUGUAAAGUGUAGCUCCUUAAUUAUAAUAAAUGUGCCACACCAAUGCAAGGUAUUAAUAAUAGAAGAACCUGAGGGAUGGGGUAGAUGGGAAUUCUGUACUUUCUGCUUUUUUCGAAACUGAGGGAUGGAGUAGAUGGGAAUUCUGUACUUUCUGCUUUUUUCUAUAAAUCUAAAGCUACUCUAAAAAAGUCUAUUUUUUUUAAAGUAGGUUCCAUGCCCAACAUGGGGCUCAAACUCACGACCCCGAGAUUUAAAGUUGCAGGCUCUACUGAGUCAGCCAGGCGCCCACCAAAUAGUCUAUAUACAAUAAUUAGUGGUAGAGGAUCAAUAAUCCAACAAAACUCUACAGCAAUGUGGGAAUAUAAUCUGAAUCCCUUGAUAUUUACAAUCCUGGAAAAAAUAAGGCAUGAAUAAGUAGCAGAGAGCAGAAACCCACCCUGAAUUAUAAUUACAACAAAAAGUCAUUCCAUCCAGAAAACGUUGGAACUGUAAGAUCAUUAUGCUGCACCCCUCAAACACUGUUGUACCUCAAUUAUACUUCAAUAAAAUGGGAGGGGGGGGGAAAGAAAGCCUCUAUACCAGGAAGUAGCUCCCUUGCAGUGUCUCACCAAAAAUUAUGAGGCAGAAAUUCCGUUAAUGCCUAAAAGUCAUUCUCAAAUCUUGAUUUUAGUUCCAACAAGAAAUUUCCUAAGUGUUUCAACAUCUCCAAGUGAGGACGAAUAACAGGUGUUAACACCCUCGGUA